UCUCUGCCAUGCAACAAUAUUCUCUGUUGGCUGAAAUAGACAUAGAAUUAUUAUAAACUUAAAAAAAAGAAUGAUUUUUUACACUACAAUAAUUACCUCUGAUAACUUGAGAGUAGCAACUACACCUAAUUGAUUAUAAUUCCAGUUUACAUAUUGUACACCCAUGGAUUGUCGUACCAGUGAAUUUGAACCAUCCGCUCCAAUCUAUAAUGAUUUAGAAGUGCAAUAUUUAUUAAAAAUUAAUGGCAAUUUAAUAAGACAUGAUUGAAUAAAGAAUUAAAAUCUUGUGCAACGAUAAUGGCAGUAUUAUGCCUGUAGGAAGGGGAAGAGUUAAGAGGGACUAGCAAUAUGUCUGGAAAUAACUUCAGUUCUCUGUCAGACUUCAGUAGAAGUACUAAUCGCAUUUUAAACUACUUUAUACUUGGCCUUGAAGAAAUGCAUUACUUUGUAUACACUGUUCUAAUAUUAUUAUAAAUAUUUCGACUUUGUAUUGAUGCAUAUGUACAUAAUAACUAUGUAAUUUUAUAUUUAUACAAACAUGGUAAUUUAAAAUAUUGUGUAAAUACAAUACAUGAAUUGUGCAACAUACCAUGUACACACAUUGUUUAUUAUGGAGAAAAAUUUAAGUGCAAUUAUUUCCUCAAAGGAUGUUGUUAUCAGAUAUAUGAAUAAGUGUGUCUUGGAAGUGAAAAACGUAAUGUGCAGAUAAAUUGUAUGCACCAAUCUUUAAUUUUAAUAGCAGAAGAAAUAUCGUGUAGAAGAAAUAUUUUGUAACAAGGAAUUUCCUUAGGCUCCAUACUUGUAGUAAGAAGCAGUGCAAGCUAAAUAUAUGCCAGUUCUGUUUUAUAAACACCAAGGAACAUGUGUGGUUUUCUUCUGAACUGUACAGUCAACUGAAAUAGUGUUUAAGUAUUUGAGUCUUGAGGCAUGUAGUAUACAAUAUGUGAAUACUUUUACUUUUUAUAUUCUGGAUAAUGAUAAAUAACAAGAUGAUGUAACUGUUUGAGUUCUCAAAUAUCCUUUAAAAGAUUCAUAAGUGGAAUGUCAAUCCUAAAAAAGAAACCUCUUCUAAGUAAACUCUUAAACAACCGUAUUUCCGAAAAAAAUACAAAUACAGCUAAUGUAAUGGAAACACCCUCUAUUAUUGUUAGUGACACUGAAGACUGUGAACACAUUUGGAUGAACGAUAUAGAAAAUAACAGUAUAAGUUCAGAAAACAGUUCUGACUCGGUCGCCUAUCACAUAAGAGAGAGGCAAAUGACCAAAGAACAACCAUGGAGUAAAGAGGAAAUUAUUUCAGCUCUUUCUAAUCUACCAGCUGGAGAAAAUGCACUUUCCGUUAUUCCAACUCUAUACGGUGAUACAUGGCGUAAAACUUUAAAUGAAUUUUUAAAUGCUGAUGGAAAUAAAAUGGUAUUACAUGCUAAGAAUAUUUCUACGUCUUCAUACGAAUAUAGACACAUACAAAAUCCAUUAUUAAAUUUUGAACACGAAGCGCCCGGUAGUGUGACUGUUGCACGACUUUUAAAGAGAUGGCCAAACACUUAUCUUUUGGUUUCUUGCUUUCUGGGUCAUAUAGAGUUGGUAAAAGCUCUGUUAGACAAAAAUGUAAAACCAUCAACUAGAGACAGCGACGGCAGGACACCGUUGCAUUUAGCAGCCUGUGCGGCUUCAGUAAAAAUUUUAGAAGAGUUAUUGAAGCAUGGUGCAAAUCCAUGUGAGUGGGAUUUUAAUAAAAAGUAUACACCCCUGCAUUGUGCUGCUGCCACUGGAGAUGUCUAUUGUGUUAAAUGUUUAAUAAAAUCAGGAGCAGAUGUAAAUGCCGGAUUAUCUGGAAAAAGUCCUCUUUACUAUGCUGUUUUAAGUAAUGCAAGAGAUUGUGUUGAAGUUUUAUUACAAGCAGGUGCUUCUCCCAACAACCCUCAGGUUUAUACAGAAACACCCUUACAUGUAGCAGUUAGUCUGGGUUCUGUUACAUGUACAACAUUACUGUUAAAAUAUGGAGCAGAUGUGAGAGUCCAGUUUAGUUCUAUGAAGUCAACACCGUUGCAUUUAGCAGCGGAAGAAGGUAGUGCAGAAUGCACAAAAUUAUUAUUAGAUGCUGGUGCUGUAUGCGAAGUAAAAAAUUCAAGAGGGCAAACACCACUGCACUUGGCAGCCUUAUCUCAAUCGGCAGAAACCUUAGAUGUACUUAUAAAUGCUGGUGCAAAUGUUAAUAUAGAAGAUAACGACGGGCGCACUCCUUUGCAUGCUGCUGUUGCAAAAGCUACUAGAGGAAUAGAGUUGGUCAAGAUUCUAUUGCAGGCUGGUGCUUCGAUCAACAAACCAGACAAAUUUGGCUAUACACCUUUACAUAUUGCUGCAUUAAACGAAAGUUCAUCAACAGUGAUGAUGCUAUUAUCGAAAGGAGCAGAUGUUACUGCUAGAACGAGAGGUGGUAUUUCUGCAUUGAGUUUUAUUGUACGCAGAACACCGGAUGUGUUACCACGAUUUAUAUCGCGUUUAGACCAAGCAAUUUCUUUACACGACCACGAAUUGGGAGAUGUUGAUUGCGAGUUAAGAUUAGAUUUUAGACCACUGGUACCAGGUGGUAGAGGGGAAAUGGAUUUAAUGCUAUGCCUUGCAGAAGUUGGACAAAGACAUGUAUUAAAACAUCCAUUGUGCGAAAGUUUUCUUUACUUAAAGUGGUUAAGGAUUCGUAAAUUUUUCUUAUUAAGUUUGAUAUUUCAUUCCAUUUUUGUUGCCUUUUUUACCGCAUAUAUUGCAGUUACAUACUUUUGGAACAUUGAGAAACUCAGAAAAAUACUUUUCUGGCCAGUGUUGAUAUUUACCAUAAGUCUUGCCUGUAAGGAGUUCUUUCAAAUGGCUCAUGGCUUAUGGUCUUAUAUCAAGGGAUGGGAAAAUUGGCUUCAAUGGAGCGUUGUUUUAGUAUCAAUUGUAGUAAUAAUUAUGCCAAUUUAUAAUUGGCAACAUCAUGUAGCAGCACUAGGCAUACUACUAAUUUGGAUAGAGUUAAUGAUGGUAGUUGGAAGAUUUCCAAUGUUUGGUCUUUAUAUACAAAUGUUUACACAAGUCUCAAUUAACUUUUUUAAAUUCCUUGGUGCUUAUAUGUGCCUUAUAAUCGGUUUCUCUUUAGGCUUUACUGUAUUACAUAAAAAUUAUAAAUCUUUUGCCAAUCCUUUGGUUGGUUUAUUGAAAACUAUCAUAAUGAUGUCUGGAGAAUUAGAAUUUGAAGAUGUAUAUUUUGAUGAAAGUGCACCAGUAUUAUAUUCAGGUACAGCACACUUAAUGCUCCUAAGUUUUGUCAUUUUAGUGACAGUAAUUCUGACGAAUUUAAUGAUGGGCCUAGCAGUAUCAGAUAUACAAGAAUUACGAAGAUGUGCUGGAUUAGAUAGAUUAGUACGCAGAGCAGAGUUAGUAGCACACUUGGAAGGUAUGCUAUUUUCUAAACUUUUGGAUCAUGCUCCAAGUAGAAUUAUGAAAAUGUGUAGGCGGGGAGCGCUUCUUUUACGUCCACCGCAUCACUGUGCGCUUCAUAUACGUCCAAAUGAUCCGCGUGAAAAACGUUUACCAAGGGAAUUAAUAAAGGCCACUUAUCGUUUAGUAAGUGAAAGAAAAAAUCGUAGUAUAAAUAGAAAUACUUCUAUGCGUAAGAGAGCAAAUACAGAAACUAGUAGUUACAGAUUAAGUAGACUCUACAGCACUGGUUCAGCCAGUGAUAACAAUCAACAAUUAAAUGAAUUAGUUGCCGAAUUAAAAAGAUGUUCAUAUAGUAUUAGCACACACUUGGACAACUUAACUAACAAAGUAGAAGGCGUUAUUAGGGAUUACAGUAACUGAGUAAUAUACGUGAUACCUAAUACAUUAUAUUUUUUAUGUACUUACCAAUAACUUGGUUUUGUAUUUUUUUCCAUUCUGCAAUUGUAUUUUUGCAGCCUCCCCUUCAGUUUUAGGCAACUUAAUAUUUUCAACUUUAGAGGCAUAAACUAUGUUUACGUUUUCUUUCUUUGCAAGUUGCUUAUUUACUGCAUGUAACAACAAAUCAUUUUCAACUAUAUAAGCAAUUUCUUCUGAUAAAUGAUCUUCAUUGAAUUCAAUCAUUGCAUCAGAACAGGCGUCCCACACCUAUUAAAAAUUUUAUAUUUAAUGUAAUGUAUAUAACAUUAUUGUAAAGUAUAAAACAUAAGAUUUUUUAAAAUACUUUUAUAUUCUACUUUAUUCCAAUUUUCUAAUAUACCUGCAUUUUUCGUACUGGGCAAUGUCUUAUCGCUUCUAUAUGUUGCCAUGCUCCUAUGCUUGAAAGUAAGGUACGUGUCUGUUGAUUCAAAGCAACUACACGAUUAGAAUAUUGUUCCUGGGGUUGGUACGUAACUUUGUUGCUGCCUUCUAGUAAAAGGACCUUUCUGCAUUCGAGUCUUCUAUUAUUGGCUAGCACAAUGAAAAAGCAUUACAUAUGAUUGUGACGAAUGCAUAAAUUUCUAAACAAUGAUCAUUUAUUACAUAUGACUUAAAUAUUAGGAAAAGAGAAGCUAACCUAUUGCACAGGCAAGUGUAGUUCCAACCAUACCACCGCCGACAAUAACGAUAUCAUAAUUUUCUUCAUUUUGCGGAAUUGUGCAAAGAUGUUUGGCUGCAAUCGUUGUUGUUCCAAGAGUGGUAGAUCUCGUUGGAAUUUGUAUUAAAUUUUUAUAACAUGAAAAAUUUUUUACGAGAGCCGCCAUUUUUCACAUUUCAUACUAAAAAUUAUAUAUACAUUUGAAGAAAAUCGUAGAUAACGAUAAUAAAUUGAAG
This is a non-coding RNA of Nomia melanderi (Alkali bee), 4791 nucleotides long. The record is from RefSeq and is a predicted model, not a curated record. Lineage: Eukaryota; Metazoa; Arthropoda; Insecta; Hymenoptera; Halictidae.